GCCAUUCCGCGUGCAGGAUGAAGGCCCUCGGGUUGUAAACUGCUUUUGUACGGAACGAAAAGGUCUCUCCUAAUACGAGAGGCUCAUGACGGUACCGUAAGAAUAAGCACCGGCUAACUACGUGCCAGCAGCCGCGGUAAUACGUAGGGUGCAAGCGUUAAUCGGAAUUACUGGGCGUAAAGCGUGCGCAGGCGGUUAUAUAAGACAGAUGUGAAAUCCCCGGGCUCAACCUGG
This 234-nucleotide ribosomal RNA is filed under the name Comamonadaceae bacterium. Its description in RNAcentral is "partial 16S rRNA". It matches the Rfam family "Bacterial small subunit ribosomal RNA", at positions 391 to 617 of the family's 1533-position model. Lineage: Bacteria; Pseudomonadati; Pseudomonadota; Betaproteobacteria; Burkholderiales; Comamonadaceae. The record is from RNAcentral.